UACAGAGGUCUCAAGCGUUGUUCGGAUUAAUUGGGCGUAAAGAGUGCGCAGGCGGGUUUAAGAGUUUGAUGUGAAAUAAUAAAGCUUAACUUUAUGACUGCAUCGAAUACCUAAUGCCUAGAGAAAUGUUUGGGAGGCUGGAAUUCUCGGUGUAGCAGUGAAAUGCGUAGAGAUCGAGAGGAACACCAGUGGCGAAAGCGAGCCUCUGAGCAUAUUCUGACGCUAAAGCACGAAAGCCAAGGGAGCAAACGGG
Molecule: ribosomal RNA, 253 nt
Filed under: uncultured bacterium
Lineage: Bacteria
Description: partial 16S ribosomal RNA
Rfam family: Bacterial small subunit ribosomal RNA
Source: RNAcentral